UGGGGAAUUUUGCACAAUGGGGGAAACCCUGAUGCAGCGACGCCGCGUGUACGAUGAAGAUCUUCGGAUUGUAAAGUACUGUCCUUGGUGAAGAUAAUGACUGUAACCAAGAAGCAAGCCCUGGCUAAAUACGUGCCAGCAGCCGCGGUAAUACGUAUGGGGCAAGCGUUGUCCGGAAUUAUUGGGCGUAAAGGGUACGUAGGCGGUUAUUUAAGUCUAAAUUAAAAGGCAUUGGCCCAACCAAUGUAAGGUUUAGAUACUGGAUAACUUGAGUAGAUGAGGGGAAAGUGGAAUUCCAUGUGUAGCGGUGAAAUGCGUAGAUAUAUGGAGGAACACCAAUGGCGAAGGCAACUUUCUGGAAUCAAACUGACGCUGAGGUACGAAGGCGUGGGGAGCAAACAGG
This 403-nucleotide ribosomal RNA is filed under the name Fusobacteriota bacterium. RNAcentral's name for it is "Fusobacteria bacterium partial 16S ribosomal RNA". It matches the Rfam family "Bacterial small subunit ribosomal RNA", at positions 355 to 776 of the family's 1533-position model. The record is from RNAcentral. Lineage: Bacteria; Fusobacteriati; Fusobacteriota.